Molecule: ribosomal RNA, 262 nt
Filed under: uncultured bacterium
Lineage: Bacteria
Description: partial 16S ribosomal RNA
Rfam family: Bacterial small subunit ribosomal RNA
Source: RNAcentral
ACGGAGGAUCCAAGCGUUAUUCCGGAAUCAUUGGGUUUUAAAAGGGGUUACCGUAGGCGGUUUAAUUAAGUCAGUGGUGAAAUCUGGUCGCUCAACGAUCAAACGGCCAUUGAUACUGUUAGACUUGAAUUAUAAGGAAGUAACUAGAAUAUGUAGUGUAGCGGUGAAAUGCUUAGAUAUUACAUGGAAUACCAAUUGCGAAGGCAGGUUACUACUUAUGGAUUGACGCUGAUGGACGAAAGCGUGGGGAGCGAACAGGAUU